Long non-coding RNA from Fundulus heteroclitus (mummichog), 376 nucleotides. RefSeq lists it as uncharacterized. The transcript has 3 exons. The record is from RefSeq and is a predicted model, not a curated record. NCBI's taxonomy places the organism in Eukaryota, Metazoa, Chordata, Actinopteri, Cyprinodontiformes, Fundulidae.
CAGAAGCAGAAGAGCACAAACAGUUUCACUGUUUACAUUAUAGUUAAUCGGUAGCCUGCGCAGAAAAUGAGGACAUUCAGUGUUUUACCGACGGUGAUUCUACUACUCACCUUCACAUGCCUUGACAAGAUCUCUGCCUCACCAUUUAUAACAAACAAUUUGAUGCUAGUCCUGAGCAUGGCUCAUAUUGACCAGUUGGAGGAAACGAUUAGUGACAAUAGCGAAUCAGAAGAGUCAUCAGCUGAAAUGUGGAUGAUGCCGUUUGACAUCAGGGAAAACAAUUAUCCUGUCCCCAUUAGAUGCCGGUUCUGCUGUGGCUGCUGUCUCAUGAGUGUCUGUGGCUUGUGCUGUGAAUGAAAUUCUGCUGUGCUCAGAA